CUUGGUCAUUUAGAGGAAGUAAAAGUCGUAACAAGGUUUCCGUAGGUGAACCUGCGGAAGGAUCAUUCAUAAUAAGUGUUUUAUGGCACUUUUUAAAUCCAUAUCCACCUUGUGUGCAAUGUCAGUCGAUCUUCUUCAUGGAAGAUCGGCCAAACAUCAACCUUAUCUUUUAACUCUUUGUCUGAAAAAUAUUAUGAAUAAACAAUUCAAAAUACAACUUUCAACAACGGAUUUCUUGGCUCUCGCAUCGAUGAAGAACGCAGCGAAAUGCGAUACGUAAUGUGAAUUGCAGAAUUCAGUGAAUCAUCGAAUCUUUGAACGCAUAUCGCGCUCUUUGGUAUUCCGAAGAGCAUGCUUGUUUGAGUAUCAGUAAACACCUCAAAGCUUUUGGAUUUUUUUUUUUGAAAGCUUUGGACUUGAGCAAUCCCAACACCAAUCUUUUUCAGAUCGGCGGCGGGUUGCUUGAGAUGCAGGUGCAGCUGGACUUUCUCCUGAGCUAAAAGCAUAUUCAUUUAGUCCCGUCAAACGGAUUAUUACUUUUGCUGCAGCUAACAUAAAGGGAGUUUGACCGCAUUGGCUGACUGAUGCAGGAUUUCACAAGGGUCGGCAACGAUUCUUGUUAAACUCGAUCUCAAAUCAAGUAAGACUACCCGCUGAACUUAAGCAUAUCAAUAAGCGGAGGAAAU
Molecule: ribosomal RNA, 686 nt
Filed under: uncultured fungus
Lineage: Eukaryota; Fungi
Description: eukaryotic LSU rRNA
Rfam family: 5.8S ribosomal RNA (bases 216-369)
Source: RNAcentral